Molecule: long non-coding RNA, 1573 nt
Filed under: Rattus norvegicus (Norway rat)
Lineage: Eukaryota; Metazoa; Chordata; Mammalia; Rodentia; Muridae
Description: long non-coding RNA NONRATT010657
Source: RNAcentral
CAAUCAGUUACUAUUUCCUCAUGACGCACCUCCUUAACUGAUCCCUGAGUUGCAGAUGCUAUGCUCCUAGGUUCUGACGUGGAAUCCGCAGAAGGAAAUCAGAUACAGUUGGUGAUGUGUGAUAAGACGGUGUUCACAGAGACAUUAAUAACAGAGCUGAGCUGUGGCAGAUGAACACAUACUUUCCAGGUGAAAAGACAGAGACAACGAAGUGGAACAGCUUGGCAUGCAUCUCUGCUGUAAAACCCCUCACGGCAUACAAGUGACUUCUAUUCAAUGUGGCAUGAAUGAUGGAACAAAUACAGAGGCCCACAACUGGACAAUGUGCACACACAAUCAAGGUGUCGCUAUCAAAUCUCUCCCCUCAAAGCUCAGGAAACCCUGCUGAAGAGGAGGUAGGAAGCUUGUAAGAGCCAGGUGCUUAUUUGUUUUCUAAUAACACAGAGAAAGAAAGAGUCUGGAUUUCAGUGGGAGGACUUGGGAGGGAAACCAUAAUCAGAAUACAGUGUAUUAAAAAAAUUCAACAAAUACAAUAGAAAAAGAAGAACUAUCAGCAAUACAUUGGAUAAUAUGAUUCAGGACUGGUAUGAAGAGUAAUUGCCAAAUAAACUCCACAAAACCCAAACCGAACCAAACCAAACCAAACCUAAAACUCUCACUAAAGAUGAGGAAAGGAACCAGAACUGACAAAGAAGAGAUUUAAGAAGCUACCCAGAGAUUUAUCAUUAUGAGUGCCAAGAAGGUCAUUGGCUAUUUUCACAACUCUUAUCAGGCAUUCAAUCAAUUCUGGAAGAAAGACUAAAAAUACAUGGUUGCUGUGUAUGUUUGAUGUAUGUAGGGCUGCCUGCUUGUCUGCAUGGGUAUCAUGCGUGUGCAGUGCUCAUGGAGGCAAGAAGAGGAAAGUGGAUACCUUAGGACUGGAGUUGUGGGCAGUUGUGAGCCAUCACCUAAGAUUUGAGAACUGAACUGAGGCCCCUGCAAGAACAGCAAGUGCUUCUCAACUCCUAGCAACCUCUCCAUCCUGACUGUAUGCAUUUUGAGGGAGACACGUAUCUGGAAAUGCUUGGAGCUCAGGAGAAACCCCAGCUGUUUGGAUUCAGGAUGCUCUUCGGUUCUUCCCUUUGAACGCUGCCCACACUCUCUCUUGAUCAGUCACUAGUAUUUUGUGACAUUCACAAGACUCCUUGUUUGUGAGCACAUUUCUCUCUCAAAAAUCAUUUAAUUAUUUUAUACAUGAAGAAAAUUGUUCUUCAACAGGAAAAAUGAGACCAGGCAUGGAAUAGGAAAACUAGAAGAGAACUAUACUGUACUGGUUGACUGUGUGUGUCAACUUGACACAAGCUGGAUCAAGGGUGGGGGGGGGCCCACUGUAGGUGGUGCCAUUCCUGGAUUGGUAGUCCUGGGUUCUAUAAGAAAGCAAGCUGAGCAAGCCAGGGGAAGCAAGCCAGCAGCACCCUCCAUGGCCUCUGCAUCAGCUCCUGCUUCCUGACCUACCUGAGUUCCAGUUCUGAGUUCCUUUGGUGAUGAAUAGCAAUGUGGAAGUGUAAGCUGAAUAAACUCCUUUCCAACUUGC